RNAcentral lists this small RNA (974 nucleotides) under Pongo abelii (Sumatran orangutan). RNAcentral describes it as "processed transcript". The record is from RNAcentral. Lineage: Eukaryota; Metazoa; Chordata; Mammalia; Primates; Hominidae.
GCUGAGCCUGUUAUGCUUUUCUGCCCUUCGGCCCUUUGGGGAGCCACGGCGGGAGGUGGAGAUCCACCGGCGAUAUGUGGCCCAGUCGGUCCAGCUCUUUAUCCUCUACUUCUUCAACCUGGCCGUGCUUUCCACUUACCUGCCCCAGGAUACCCUCAAACUGCUCCCCCUGCUCACUGGUCUCUUUGCCGUCUCCCGGCUGAUCUACUGGCUGACCUUCGCCGUGGGCCGCUCCUUCCGAGGCUUCGGCUACGGCCUGACGUUUCUGCCGCUGCUGUCGAUGCUGCUGUGGAACCUCUACUACAUGUUCGUGGUGGAGCCGGAGCGCAUGCUCACUGCCACCGAGAGCCGCCUGGACUACCCGGACCACGCCCGCUCGGCCUCUGACUACAGGCCCCGCCCCUGGGGCUGAGCCGCUCCGCUCUCGCCCUCGGAGUAGCGGGUAGCGGCGUGGGUCAGACACAUCUUUGAACCUUGUGGCCAGGCCUGGACUUCGCCCCCAGGCCUAGGACCGCGGGCAGCCAACCAGUCAGAAUGCCUCUCAUUUAGGCCUGCAAGUCCCAUCCAAGGGAAAUGUGUGGAGAUGCAAGAAGGCAACACCAAGGGGACCUUAUCAAUAGCCCUGUUCCCUGCCCCCCUCCAAAGUUCCCCCCAAGGUAGGAAGGAAGCCCCACCUGGGGGUCUCCAGGAAGUCGAGGCUGGCCUCUGAGGUUCCACAGAAAAGCAAGACGGGGGAGUGAAGGAGCCGGCUGGAACUUGAUGCUCCAACCUCCAGAGUUUUGAGGCACAGCAAGACAGGUCCAGUAAUGUCCUUCCCUCCAGAGAGCGGGCCUUAAUUUAUGGACUGGUACUCUGAGUACUUCCUGUGGUGCAGCAGCAGAACCAAGCCGCCCCCUAGCAGCAUGAGCCCUGGGGCACCCAGGGCCACUGCCAUGAUGCCCAGGACUAGUGGGGACAAGCCGUCCACUGGAGGG